AUUGAACGCUGGCGGCAGGCCUAGCACAUGCAAGUCGAACGGUAACAGGAAACAGCUUGCUGUUUCGCUGACGAGUGGCGGACGGGUGAGUAAUGUCUGGGAAACUGCCUGAUGGAGGGGGAUAACUACUGGAAACGGUAGCUAAUACCGCAUAACGUCGCAAGACCAAAGAGGGGGACCUUCGGGCCUCUUGCCAUCGGAUGUGCCCAGAUGGGAUUAGCUAGUAGGUGGGGUAACGGCUCACCUAGGCGACGAUCCCUAGCUGGUCUGAGAGGAUGACCAGCCACCCUGGAACUGAGACACGGUCCAGACUCCUACGGGAGGCAGCAGUGGGGAAUAUUGCACAAUGGGCGCAAGCCUGAUGCAGCCAUGCCGCGUGUAUGAAGAAGGCCUUCGGGUUGUAAAGUACUUUCAGCGGGGAGGAAGGGAGUAAAGUUAAUACCUUUGUUCAUUGACGUUACCCGCAGAAGAAGCACCGGCUAACUCCGUGCCAGCAGCCGCCGCCG
RNAcentral lists this ribosomal RNA (506 nucleotides) under uncultured bacterium. RNAcentral's name for it is "partial 16S ribosomal RNA". It matches the Rfam family "Bacterial small subunit ribosomal RNA", at positions 30 to 523 of the family's 1533-position model. The record is from RNAcentral.